RNAcentral lists this transfer RNA (73 nucleotides) under Stegodyphus mimosarum. It matches the Rfam family "tRNA". Rfam says of the family: Transfer RNA (tRNA) molecules are approximately 80 nucleotides in length. The record is from Rfam by way of RNAcentral. Lineage: Eukaryota; Metazoa; Arthropoda; Arachnida; Araneae; Eresidae.
GCUUUCGUGGUGUAGUGGUCAGCACGCUCAGCAUGUAUUCGAGAGAUCCGUGGUUCGAGUCCCGGCGAGGUUG